Molecule: long non-coding RNA, 1530 nt
Organism: Pezoporus flaviventris
Lineage: Eukaryota; Metazoa; Chordata; Aves; Psittaciformes; Psittacidae
Exons: 4
Source: RefSeq, a predicted model, not a curated record
GAAGCCAAGUGUUAGUGGCCAGCCAGGAGUCUGGUUCCCCAAGUUAACAGCAUCCGAAUAAUUUGCACUGAUUCACUGAGCAUUGCUAAUCUGUUAAUAAUGCUCAGUAGAAGCUCUAAUCACACUGCAUACCUGGCAGCCUCAGUGAAUUUCGUGUGUCUUACAGUACUUACAUAAGCACUUGAACUGAAGGAUUUAGCUGACCCACAUAUUUAAUGGAAUUUUGCUGAAGCACUGGGACACCUUCAGCAUUUCCCGAAGCCUUUAGUACUUUCAUAACACCUUUGUGAGGAAGCGCCAGCUGCAAGUAGAAAAGAGCCACUCAGACAUCAAGUGCCUCAGUCAGAGGUAACAGAACUGUCCCAUGGUGGGGCUGAGGAUGCACCCUGACCUGCCACCCCCACUCUGCCAUGUCAAUCUUAUAAAACCACACAGGGCUGUUCUUUAAGAACUCAUUCCAGUAAUCAAAAUUCUUUCUGGACAAUAAAAUACAUAGUAAUGUAGUUCACUGAGACCAGCAAAUGAUAUACUUGUUCAGAAAAGUAAUUGUUCAUCUCAGGACACGUUAAUUUUAUUUUUAGAAAGGUGUGUUCAUACAGUUUGUGUAUUUUUUUUUUCCAAAGCAAAGCUGGGUUUGUUUAAUUUUCUAGCAGACAGAAUUCGGAAUAACGGACAAUAGAUACACACCUGUCAUCUCCAGAAAAAAAAGUGAGACUGAGGUUUCACAGCAUGCAGGAAUGGAGCUUGUCUACUCUUUUCAUCUGUUGUCGCCUUCCCUUUUGCCAAUAAUUUUAGAUGAGGAGGAAGUGAACUGAUAAAUAUAUGCAGUCUCACUGCAGUCUUUCCUGGUAACAGUGCUAGUAGGUUAUGGAUGAAGUCAGUCAAAGCAGGCACGUUGAUUAGAAAGUCAGAAGACUUCUCACAUACACUUGCAGCAAACCUUGCACUGAGGACUAAAAAUGGAGUGGUUUACAUCACUCUUUUCUGAGACAUCUCCUGAUGGUAAUAUCCAAAGAUAUCCCAGCAGUGAUAUAACUGACACAAUAGUUACUGCCUCCUCAUCUACAUUCAUCUUCCCGAAAGAGUUUUUAUUUUGGCUACCUCUUCUCUCCUCUGGUUCUUCCAUUUCCUCCCCCUCUCUGAUGCACCCUCUAUCACCAGGCAUCAGCAGCGGGGUCGGAUUCCACUCCUGCAACAAAGGGACACCUCUUCCCACUGCUGGCCCUUGGCCAUCUGCUACUGCUGGCACUGUGGGGGUCAUCCUGCAAAUGGUUUGCAUCCAGGCUCCAGCAGGCCAUUGAUCAGUUACUAACAGAACUGAGUAGAGACCUCCAAGGCAGGAUGAACUGGCAAGAGCAGAGAAGGCAGAUUGUAAAAAAACCCAACCAGCCAUUGUAACAUGCACAGGAAGACAGCUUGAGUUUGAAUAUUAGCUUCUUUGUUCCUUUCUAACAGAUACUUCCAUUGAAUAGUAAAUGAGCAAUGUCAUUUGGUAUUUUGAGAAUGAUUAAAAGCUAAGACAAAAAAUAA